CGGCGCUGCCCACCCACCACACCGCUAGCGCCUCUGAACCUCGCCAGGCACGUCCGGUUCUGCGGCCCCCACUCCGCCCCCGCCUGCCGGGAGCCGCGCAGUUACAAAGUGCCGGGAGCCGUGCAGGGCCAGUGAACCCCUCGCUGAGACUCAGUUUGCUGCCAUCACAAGUGCUCUGAGAAUCCUGGAGAGGGAGGAUAUUGGAGACAAACGGGACUGCUGCCCGCCUUUUAGGCGACCGUUGGAGGCUGCUCUGUGCCGGACACAGGCAGGCUCCCACAGCUCAGAAGUCAGCGGAGCAGAGUCCCCAGGAAACCAGGGUCAGGGAUGGAGGCUGCUGAGGAGCGGGUCUGGGAGGUGGAGGCCAGAUACAAGAAAACCACAGUACCAGUAAAUGACAAAGGCUGGAUCUUAACCCAAGUCCUCCGACUCUGAAGGCCAUACCCAACAGGUCCCAUUUUAUUUGUUUUACUUUUUUUUAAUUGAAGAAAAAAAAACUAGCAUUCCCCUACAGUGCCCCCCACCUGGUGGGGACAUCUUGGGUUGGCAAGGCCACCACUUUCAAGAGUAGAAGUGUUUUUCAGCAGG
RNAcentral lists this long non-coding RNA (588 nucleotides) under Homo sapiens (human). RNAcentral describes it as "non-protein coding lnc-RTL1-3:3". Lineage: Eukaryota; Metazoa; Chordata; Mammalia; Primates; Hominidae. The record is from RNAcentral.